CAAUGAAGGUACUCAUUUCCGUGCAGUUCCUCUUCAAUCUAAAAAGUUGACUCUUGGGUAUGUUGCUAAGCCACGGACUAUAGUGACAGCUACUGGUGUUAAUUUAGCUGUUCACAUCUACGGCCUUAAAGAAAGUUUUAAGGAACCUCUUGUAUUGAUACCUAUAGUACAGCUUGAAGUGGUAUAAUCCCCACUCUAGAAUCUGUUGGCAGUACAGGUCCUCCUCAUAUAUAUGGGGG
Pelobates cultripes (western spadefoot toad) is the source of this 239-nucleotide non-coding RNA. Lineage: Eukaryota; Metazoa; Chordata; Amphibia; Anura; Pelobatidae. The record is from the annotation of a GenBank genome assembly.